Oryctolagus cuniculus (rabbit) is the source of this 7211-nucleotide non-coding RNA. The record is from RefSeq and is a predicted model, not a curated record. Lineage: Eukaryota; Metazoa; Chordata; Mammalia; Lagomorpha; Leporidae.
GGGUGGGGGGUGGCUGGAGUUGAGGGGGGAGGUGUGGGGAGGACUUGGAGGGGGGCCACCUUCUGCGGUUGUCACCGCGUCAACGCCCGGCGGCUGCCAGGGCACCCCUCCCCCCUCUUCGGGCAACUUCUUCCAACAGACCCCUCUAAGGGACCCCAGCGCCCCCUCGCUCGCGCCUUGCCCCCGCAGCGGGGUACAAAGAAAUCUCAGGCUCCCCCUAAACUUUGCGCUUCCAGUUGCGCAGCCGCCUCGCCUCACCCCUGCGGCUCCCGCCCUCGCAGCCUCUUGGCAGCGAGGUUUAGGCCCCUGGCAAAAGGGCUGAGGAGAGCCAGCUGAUCACAGAUGCCAACUGUGUGUCCUGGGGCCAGGGAAGUCCUCUGCUGUCCUCUCCAUGCUCUCAGGAGACCAUGUCCCCGCUCCUCAGGUUCCCCGGAGACCUGCGGACCCGGGCCGCGCCCCACGUGGUGCGCAGGGACGGGGCGCCCAGAGAAGCAGCCUCCAAAGUGCUGGAUGUCACCUCGAGUUUCCAUUUUAAGUUGUCAAGUCCCCGAACUGGGAGGCAGGCAGAGGUUUUUCUCCUAUCCAAAAGGGAGACCGUUAGCCAGGUGCUUAGCCUUAGGUGGGAAAGGAUUUUUUUUUUUUUUUAAUAAGAACCCUAACUUUUUGCGGAAGUCUCUGACAGUUCUGCACGACCCACCCCGCCCCAUAACCUUUCAUUGUCUUAGUUCUUCGGCCUCAGGGAAGCGCCCAGCGACUAAUAAAAGAUUGAACUUGCCAUAAUUUUCCAAGCAGCAAAGCUGUUUACCUGAGUUUGUCAUCUGUGGUACAGAAUAUCUAAUAGGCUGAUCUCUGUUCAGAUGUGUAUGUUUUAAAAUACUGGGAUUCCUUAUCUUGUGCAAGAGAUAUGUUGAUAUAUGAACAUACAUGAAGGUGGUGGAAUCUGCGGACACAGAGGACUGACUAUGUACAGGAUUGUGAUGCCUGUCUCCGAAGGAGGCUUCUUCCCUGGCUGGCAUUGAUGAAGCAGCCUGCCGUGUGUGAGCUGUCACAUAGAGGGAGCCAUGCAGCAGAAAACUGAGGACCUUGGUUUGGCAGCCUGAGAGAACUGAAUGCUGCCAACAGACUAGUAGGCUUUUCCAGUUGAGCCCAGUUGAAAUACCCAACCCUGGUGGAAACCCUGAUUAUAUAAAGGCGCUUCGAAACUUUUGUGGAAAUUGGCAUUAAAUAAUCAGUUUAUUCCAGUGUAAAAAAUUUUGAAAUCUAUGCACUGUUUUUUCCUAAUAUACCUUUUCCAUCAUCUUUUUUUGAACAGCCUUGGUAUGCAUGGAUUUCAGACUUCUGUACCAAAAUAAACUGAUCUUUUCAUUCCAUUUUCCAAAACCUCUUUGAAUUACCCUUGUAGUCUUGAAAAGAUCCCAGUUAGGCUGUACCAGAUUCCUUCCCUUUAGAAACUAUGAAAUAAUAGAUUGUGUAGCUUUCAGCUCCAAUCUUUGGUAAUACUCUAAUGCAGCAAUAUGUAACUAAGCUACUGUCCAAGGUUUGUAACACAGCAUACCCUGGAAAGAAAACAGCCUAUAGCAAUAUUCGGCCCUGGAAGAAAACUAGAUAGUGGAUGACUGGUGUCCUUGGCCUCCUAAGCCAAGAAAGAGGACAAUAAGAGAGCUGAAGACCCACGAUGGUAGACAUUGCAGAGUGUGAGAAACCCAGAGAAGUGGCAGACUUUUUCCAGAUGCUUGGGUUUAGACUUAGGGACCAAACUAAAUCCUCAGAAAAUGAUGGGAGAGAAGAUGACCCCAAGGAUAUCCAGGUACCAAAUAUGAGCCCUAAAAAGAAAAAUAAAAAACCUAGCUGAGAAGUCCAGCAACCAGAGCAAAGAUCAUUCAAAAUAUAUAACCUCCAAAUCUGCUGAAAUGAUUUCUAAAAAAGAACCAAUGGCCAUGAGAAUAAAUGAUAAUAAUAGAACCUAGGUGGAAUCAAGUGCAGCAAAACAUUUAAUUUCACAAUGUUACCUCUUUCAGAUAAAUUGGAGGAAGGUAUUACUGUGAUAGCAUGAAUAACUGAGAAGAUGAAUAUAAAAGAAUGAGAGAAGAAGGUCAUAUUAUCUCCUAUGAAAAGGCACAUACACAUAUGCUGGCAACAAUUUUGAGAUCUAAUUUUGCAGAUAACAGGUUUCCAUAAAUGUAAAGGAAUCAUACUAGCAUCAGACUUCUCAUCUGCAUUAUUUGAAGCUGGAAAAAUGGUGAAGUAAUAUUUCUUAGUACUUGGAGGGAAGACUGAAGCUAGCCAAACUGUUACUUAUCUGUGAAGAUAAAAAAAAAAUGACGUUUGUAAAAUUUCAAGUUUCAAAUGUAACACAAGGUAAGCUUUCUAAGGAAAAUAACGAAAGGAUAAUAACCAAAAUAAACAAACAAGACACCAAACCCAAGUUGCAUAAUUGAAGAAACUGAGAAUCAACAGUGGUGAUCAAUAAACUGACUUUUAAUAUAUAAUUAAUCUAAAUAUUUGGAAAUGAGCAAUAUGAGUUAGUAGCUCUAUACUGGAAGUGAAAUUUUGUUAACAGUUUAGAGAUGCAUGUAUUAAGUUUUCUGUAGUAAAAUCAUGAUGGUAGUAGAAGGUUGAGAGAAGGCAAAGCUUCCAUGCGAAGUGAGAACACAGUGGGUGAAAGGCCAUACUAGGUUGGGAAAAGAAAAGGAGGAAGGAAAUGUGGUUUAACCCUUGUUACACUUGAGUGCUCUGGUCAAUGUCCUGGCACUUCCUGCACAUGCUGUGAAAUGGCCAGGCUUUCCAGUUGUUUUUUAGGAGGUUGCUGUGGAAUCAUUUAUGCCCAGGAUUGCCUGCAUCAUAAUACAGAUUGUAGUGCUGUAAGUUCAGCUUACAUCAUCUACCUUACCAUUUUCUCCACUGCUGCAAAGCACUUGGAACCUUAACAAAAGCUGUUUUAUAUAACAAAUCAUUAUUGCCUGAGUGACUAGGCCUACUAAUAUUCAACAGGAUUUCUCCAAAAAUUCCAUUUUUUGCUUUGCUUCUUUGGUAAUUACCAAAAUUGCUACAGCUGGAAACACUAAAUGUAUUAUCUCCCACACUCCCAGAAGCUCCUUUCCAUCUGCAGGAAGUUCAACACUCAGCAGCCUGAAGAAAGCGUCUUCUGUUAACUGCCAGUGCUGCAGUAUCUCUCCAGGUAGCACCUCUUCCCACCAUCCUCAGCCUUCCUAUUUUGAUCUUUAUCCUGUGGGGUCCUAGGACUUUUGCCUUGUGUAUGUAUUUCUCUCUACUCUUGAAUCCAUGUGUCCACUAUGACUGCCUAGACAAAUGUGGUAACCCUUGGGGUCAGGCUCUUCUGCCUCCUUACUGCAUCUCCCACAUAUGUUCAAGUCUCCAGCUCUGGCUCAGGUAUUCAAGCCCCCUCUUGUCCAAGAAGCAAGUUCAUAAAAGUUAUAAAUAUCACUGCAUAUGUUCAACAACCAUAUCAAAGACCUGUGGACUAUGCUAUCCCUGAUGGAAAACUUUCUCAAAUGAGAUCUUCCUUGGAACCUGAAAGCAGCAUGUUUCUCAUUAGUACAAGUCUAGUGGAGCAGUAAGACUUCCCAGUUCUUUCAAUCAUCUGAAGAUUUUCAGUGAGAGUGUGUGUGUUCCAAACACAAAUCCUCCACUUCUAUUUCUAUAUACCUUCACUUCUAUUUUAUUAACAAUUUUUAAGUAGGAUAAUCUCAUUAAUGAAAUUUAGCAAAUUUUUAAAAUGUGAACAUUUGGAAAAUUAGGAAGGACCACAUCCCCAGAUGAAAUAACUGCUCUCAGAGCUAAUGGUUAGAGAUCAUGAUGUUGAAAUUGAGCCAACAGAGGUCAGCUUUGACUGUCCAGAUCUCAAGGCCUCAGACAGAGAUAAGAAAAGGAUGAUGACAGCAUAAGGAAGGAAAGAAGCAGUUGGGCCUGAGUUAUCUGAUUAAUAUCUGCCAGAGACAAGUUGGGAAUGAAAAAUUGCAUAAUGAUAAGAAAAAGAAGAGAGGAAAUUGGAGACUAGUGAAUAUGAGAUCAAUGAGGAGAUGCUGAAGCCACCACUGGGGAAGUUACUGCAGACACUGAUGGGAUGUGGAAGAUGUGAGCUUAACAGAGAUUGGAGAGGGGUUUGGGGAAAUGGGUGUUCAUCCACUAAAAAAAUGACGGAGCCAUUGCCUUAGAAAUAAGGAACUAAUGAGAAGUGCAAAGAAGCAGUUGAAGCCCAAAUUGAGAAACUGAGAAUUAGGGAACUGAGGAUAACAAGAGAUUUGUGAAAUGAAAGUUGGGAGAUUGGCAGGGGCUAAGGAAACUGCAUGGAGAUAAGCCAAAGUCCCCAAAAUGUGUUAGGGGGAGGAAGCAGGUGGAAGGAAAGACAACCAAGGUCCAUGUGGGCAUUUGAGAAUCCUUUGGAGGCUGAGCUGGGCAUUCUGAGGUUCCAGUCAGCACCUGAUGAUUGAGGUUGAAGUGUUAUCUUGGCAUCACCUACAAUAUUCUUAUAAGCAACCAGUCCUGUGCCCAGGAAGCCCAAUAUAGAACAAAAUUUCUGGGUCUGUGGGUAGUUAUGAGUAUUCAGUUGUACACAGUAGGAUUUGUGGGUAAGAGGAUAUGUUAUAACCUCAGCUUCACAAGUUCUCUUGCAUUUUAUGUAGUCAUUCUACAAGGAAGCACAGAUGUUAGGAGAGAAGGCUACUAUUAGGAAAAGAAAAACACCAUGCAUUUCAUUUGAUUAUGUGCCUUUCUAGCCAAGCAAUCAUAAAGUACCACUGAGAGAGAAUGAUAGCUCUUAAUCAUGUAGUUUUAAAUAUACUGCAUUUAGGAGUUUUUCUAUUCCUUAUCCAAGUAAGACUAAGGGAUCUAGGAAUAAUAAAUUGUCCUGGGAAUGUUAAUGGCUAGAUAUCUUAAGUCCUGUCUGACCAUUAACACAUCCUGGGAUGUGAUUCCAACAAUUGUUUCUAGUUCCAGAAGACAUUGGAAAAAAAAUUAUCAUUUCCACAGGUCCAUUAAUGGAGGUGGGUCAGUGAUUGAGCAAUUAUCUCUCAGUUCCAGCCCAUCUUCUCCAGUUGGCUUUGUGCUGUUGGGGCUGAGACUCUGCAAAUUACAUUUCUCUGUUACCACCUGGUUUGCUGUUAAAUGUGGCCAAGAGUUAAGAGUGGGCCCUGGAGGGAAGCCUAAAGACAGAGGAGAGGGAAGAAACAACUUGCUACAUCUUUUUGCUUGCUCUUUCUGUCAGUGUUAACCUAUGAAGGGCUCCUCUCCCUAUUUCAAAACUUUGUUCCAGUUUUCAGAAUCUUCUGCCAUUCUCAGAAUUAGCUUCAGUGAUGAAAAUGCUGGCACAAGCCUAGACAUGUCAGUCUCUCACAGCUCUGGGCAGAUCCCCAAAGCCCUUCCUGUAGGCUUCUAGGUUCUGAUAAUCCCAACCAUCCUCCUUUGCAGGCGGGGCAGGCAUAGCACCGGCAGCUGCUUCCUGUAGUUACUAUCUCUGUGUUGUGUCAGUGUUCCCAUUUUGCUUAGCCAGCCCUCCAGUACUUAACCAAUAUUUAACCUACAAUUGCUUAACCAAUCUCUUAUAUUAUCUCUGAUAAAAUAACGAACAUGGUUUCCAUUUUCUUGACUAAAUUCUGACUAAUUCAGAGGUGCAGGGUCUUCUGCAAUGAAUUGUACAGAAAACUUCUUACUUUUUAAAUCUCCCUCUUUGCAAAGCAUUCUAUUUCUUGCAGUUGUUAAAAAUCAGUCCACUCCUUGCCACCCACCUGUUCCAGCUCAUGUUUCACUUCUGAGAGUUGUCAUCCCUGGCCUAAUCCACCACACCCACAGAUGCAUUUCAAAAUCAUGACUGUAUACCUCCCUUGCCCUUGUGAAGCCACGUGAGAGGCAUUGUCUAGGUCUCCCUCUCAUGUUUUUCAGCCCCUUUCUAAAGCAUUAGUCCCCAUAGAAUUCUGGUGGAAACUCAAAAUGAUCACCAUGUUAAAUAGCUUAAAUUUUUGUUUUCCAUAUGAAGAAAUAUAAUAUGUACUCGUGCUACCAGGGGUCUUUUUGCAUUUGUUCCCUUAUCUGUCCUCCUUGAACAACUAAGAUUCCCUUGGAAGUGUUACUUCACUGAUAGGUCCAUUAGCCUCUAUCUUAAAGAAACCCAUCAGCAUUAGGAUUUAAUUCUUCUUCCACUGAUUUUCUGUUUCCUGUGAACUAUUGUUAAUAAACAAACCUCUUCAUCACACAUGUGGGCCUUUCCACCUAAUUGGAAAAUGUGAAAUACUUUGUGAUGGACAUUUAAAUGGUCUUUGCAAUUUUACUUGAGACUAGCUCGCUGCCAUUAGAAGAAAACUGGUGAACUGGUACCCAUAAGCUUCUUCUUGAGUUUCCCUGGGGAGUGGGGCAAGGUGGAGCUUAUCUCUUUGCUACCUUUCUCCAGAAAAUGUAUGCAUAAAGACAAUCUGCAUUUUGUUAAAGGCACAACCAUUUUUUUUCUUAUUUGUUUAUUUACUUACUCAUUUGUGGUGGCUUUUAAAAGGGCUCAAAUGGGUUAUUUUGUUGUGAAGCAGGAGAGAUCUUUUAUAGUAAAAAAUACAAAUAUGAUACCUUUUCUACCAGAAAUGCAGAGUAGUGAUCAUAUUUCUAAGUAUUGAAUCAGUUGACUUUCAAAGGGAAGACCAAAUAUUUCUCAUUAUUUUUUAAGUUAAAAGUUCUUAUGAAACAAGACAACCAAACAAGGCCAUGGAGACAUUUCUGCAAUGGCCAUGUGAAGAGAGCUUCAUGAAUUUUCUCAUUAGUUCAACAACCAUAACUGGUAAAUAUGUGUGUGCACAUGUGUAUGUAUCUCCAUUUAAAGUUUCUGAAAUUGUCCUAAUGGCAUAAAUAAAAUAGAAAAACAUGUAUUCCAGAAAACCUAAUAAGAUAUAUUCUUGAUAAGAACAGUGAGAAUUUGUGAUAUAUGAACCACUAAUCCCCCACACCCAAUUUAGUGAGAAAGAAUUUCUACUACUGGUAGUUGUUGACAAAGUCAAAAAGUUUCUUAUCAGAUUCUAGCCUAAACCUGACUUCUGUCAUAAUGGGAGGAAGAAAGAUGCUAAUACUGUCAUUUCCAGAAUCAUGUAGUAGACUCUUUCCAGGUAGAAGUGGCUGAGAGAUCUCUGGCUUCUUUUACUCAUCGGCUAUCCAUGGAGUAGGCAUUCUACUCAAACUGCAGCAAGCAAAAAAAAAAAAAAAAAAAAAACAGGGCC